GUUGGAAAUAAGAAGAAUUUAAGGUUAUUUUACAUGAUGGGUCAAAUAAGACCCACAAGAUUCCAGAGCAAGGAACUUCGCGUUAUUUUUCUGCAAUCAAAUAAGACCCACAAGAUUCCAGAGCAAGGAACUUCGCGUUAUUUUUCUGCAAUCAAAUUAGGUUUUGAGAAUGUUUGAAUUUGAGAAUUUUUCAAGGAUCUGUAGGUUUUUGUCUGAUUUGUUAUAUAGAAGAAAGAGGUUUUGGUAGUGAAAAACAUGACUUGCUUGCUGCUUGAGGUUGUGAAAUUAAAUUGUAUUAAAGCGUAAAAAGAGGAAGGCAGCCAUUGUAGAUGGUGAGGGCAUCAAGGUUGGGCACAGCACGGUACACCGCCCGUAUGAAGGAAGGUCAUCACACGGCCAUGCUGUACGUUGACGCAGAGAGUUUCACACGGCCGUGUAAGUCCAGUAGCCUGAAAUGACCAACAUUAAAUUAGAAAAGAAGGUUGGGCAAAGAAGGUGCACGGCGCGGUCGCAUGAAAGAAGGUCAUCACAUGGCCAGGCUGUGUGUAGAAGCAAAGAGGAGCUCUCUGUGUGAAUUUACAUGGCCGUGUAACGUCCAGCAGCCUGAGAAUUCCAAGUCAGGGAGGUACACGACCAGGCAUUCUGUGAUCUGAGAAGUUUUUAGUUUACCAGUUCUCUUAAUUUCUACGAUUUGCUAUAAACGUAAAGUAUUUCGAUUAAAAUUUUUGUGAAGUUCCAUAUAAAGUCGAUGCUAAAUCAGUAAAUGGAAUGUUAAUUGGAACACUUGGGUGUUGGAAUAAAGUUUUGGAGAGAAUGUCAGCAAGUAGAGGAAGAGAUAAAUUGAUAUUAUCUUGAGAAUUACCAUGUCA
RNAcentral lists this unclassified non-coding RNA (869 nucleotides) under Hevea brasiliensis (rubber tree). The record is from RNAcentral. Lineage: Eukaryota; Viridiplantae; Streptophyta; Magnoliopsida; Malpighiales; Euphorbiaceae.